UAGGGAAUCUUCCACAAUGGCGCAAGCCUGAUGGAGCAACACCGCGUGAGUGAAGAAGGGUUUCGGCUCGUAAAGCUCUGUUGUUGGAGAAGAACGUGCGCGAGAGUAACUGUUCAUGCAAUGACGGUAUCCAACCAGAAAGUCACGGCUAACUACGUGCCAG
RNAcentral lists this ribosomal RNA (163 nucleotides) under uncultured bacterium. Its description in RNAcentral is "partial 16S rRNA". It matches the Rfam family "Bacterial small subunit ribosomal RNA", at positions 355 to 511 of the family's 1533-position model. The record is from RNAcentral.